AAUAAUUCUCCUGUCAGGGCCCCAGCAACGAGGGACAGUCAGCUGAAGAUUUUCAGAUGUUGCCUUCUGCAUGCACCAAAUAUACUCAUCAGCUAAACUGAAGGACAGCAUGUUUGAGGACUGUUUGAUGUCAGACGUGUGAGUAUACACAUACCAGCUAUAUAUAUACAAGAAGAUAAGAAAAAUAGAGGGAGG
Cygnus olor (mute swan) is the source of this 195-nucleotide long non-coding RNA. RefSeq lists it as uncharacterized. The transcript has 3 exons. NCBI's taxonomy places the organism in Eukaryota, Metazoa, Chordata, Aves, Anseriformes, Anatidae. The record is from RefSeq and is a predicted model, not a curated record.